CAUUAAAAGGUUGGUCACAUUUCAAGCAAGCAAAGGUGCUCAAGCUUUUCUAUUUUUGGCAUGAACUAAUUGCAUGAAUCCUUACAUCUGGAUGUGUUUGGUGGCUGUUCUACUAGGUAUUGGCUAUUCCCCUCAAAGAAAUUUUUGUGUGCUAAAUUUACAAAACUCUCUCAUGUCAUAUUUGGAUGUUGUCAAAGUGGUUAUUUAUUGGUAUGGUUCCAUGAAACUCAAGCCUACAAAUUAUUAGUUGAUGGUUAUUUUUGCAACUUGAGGGUAGUGAUGAAAUGAUUGGGAGUAAGUGAGUUGAAGGUUAAGAGAUUGGGAUUGAUGGAGUGUAUUGUGUAGUACUUGAGGGCAAGCACAAGAUAAGUGUGGGGGAGUUUGAUAGUGGCUAAAAAGGACAUCAUUGUCACCCACUUUUGGGUUAUUAAACUUGAUGGUAUGUUAUCUAAUCUGAGUUAUUUUCUAUGACUUAUUGCCAGUACGGGAUAUAAGGAUAAAAGAAGGAAAAACAACAUGAAAAAAGGAAAAUUUUAUGAAAAUAACCAUCAGUCCAGAAACAAGCCUUGGCAAAGCUUGGGUCCUGUCACAGACAACUUAGCCUUGGAUAAGGCUAAGAGUCGCGAACAAC
This 631-nucleotide long non-coding RNA is filed under the name Carica papaya (papaya). Its description in RNAcentral is "long non-coding RNA (CPAP_LNC006626)". The record is from RNAcentral. Lineage: Eukaryota; Viridiplantae; Streptophyta; Magnoliopsida; Brassicales; Caricaceae.